GCUGGUACCUAUCUUGGAGGUUGGCAGUAAGGAUUAAUUGAAGUAAAUUAUAUACAGAGGCUAUUACAGUGCCUGACAUUGCAGAAAAUACUAGUAAGUGAUGAAUCGAUGGAGCGAGAUGAGAGGAAGAAGAUGGAGAAGAGAAGAAGAAAGAGAGGACCACUUGUAAGCAGCCCCUGGAAGCAAAGCUUGCAGCUUUGAAACAGCCAUGUUAUCCACAGUGGUGAAGCAAUGUAGCUUCCUGGUCUCCAAAUCCAUGCAAAGCUAUAGAGCAAGCCCUUGGAGAGCCUUGAUGAUGAGCUGUCAGACAAUGCAGCAGGAAAUGAGUCCAUUCUUCCAG
RNAcentral lists this long non-coding RNA (340 nucleotides) under Pan troglodytes (chimpanzee). RNAcentral describes it as "lncRNA (ENSPTRG00000054654.1)". The record is from RNAcentral. Lineage: Eukaryota; Metazoa; Chordata; Mammalia; Primates; Hominidae.